GGGCUGGGCAAGGCGGGAGGAGCGCGGACCCAAGAUCGGCUACGCUGCGUCUGCUCAGGCUGCGAGUUCCCGGCUCUGGGGACUCACCUUGCGGAGCUUACCCAGGCGGACUCUCCGCAGCCCCUGAUGGGUGUGUGUGUCAGACCGUUUACUAAACACCAGGACUGUUGUAGGCGACUGUAAGAAAUAAGAAUAUUGCAUGGUUACAAUUCUUGAAUGCUUACCUUGUGUCUUGUUCCUUACUCUACAGAAAUUUUCUAAUCCCGUGGCGAACCCCCGUACUUCAACGUAUGACAUUCUGUAAAUCUACAAAACAGAUGGGUCCCUGCCUUUGAGAAGUUUUUACAAUUUAGUGGGUACUGGACACGGACCUAAUUUAAUUCUCACAUGCCUUCCCUUUCUAAUAAGCUGCAUGUUAUGUAUCCCUAUUCUACAGAUGUGGGGAAUCCGAAAUUUUUAGCUUUUACUGGGACACACAGCUAGCAAGCAACUAAAGCGAGAAUUCCAACCUGAGCUCCAAUCCGAACUAUUUUCAUAAAAGGCAGGAUCCCAGGCUGAGGGAGUUCGAGGUUUGGGAGACAGUUUAGCAGUCGCUGAGUCCAAACAUGUUGUUUUCCUAGAAAAGAAAACUGAGAUCCAGGAAAGGGAAGUGAUUUUCCAAAGACACACCUGUGAAAGGUGAGGAGAACAGCCCAGUGAGGCUGAGGCCACACAAUUAACCCCAGUCUUUGCACUACAACUCUACCAGGGAUCCUGGUUUGGCUCAUUUUCUUUCUUCUGCACCAUGAUUGUUCACCUUUUCAUUACCAGCAACAUACCCAAAGACCUAGCUAUAGACUCGUUGGAAUCUGUUACUUAGCAGCUGUGUGAAUCAAGUGUUCAAUAGGAAUAAUAAGAUGUAUUCAUCUUACCUUUUCAGAACAUUAUGAAGAACAAAUGUGGUAAGACAUAUGAAAAUGCUUUGUAAAGUGUUAGAUGCUUAAUACACAGAAGACAUUGCUUCCAGAUCUGUUUCAACGUACCCCAAGAAUGGAAUAAGUGGAAUAUGCUGGUUUCAUGCACUGUGGCAAGGGGGUCUCAUCUUGGCUAGACUUGAAUAAGUGGAUUUGUUGCCUGGCCUCUGUGGAUGGCUCUUUCUCUGGGCUUUUGUGUAUUUGAUUUUUUAUUUGCUCCAGCAGCCGUGUUGAACCAUGAAAGGACCUCAGGAAUGAAACCCACACACAGCAAAGCAACAAAGUGAAAGAAGCGUGGAUUCCUAAUGCAGGAGGCACUGAACCAAUCAAUACCCACUGCCCUCCAGACCUCCACAUGAAAGAAAAAAACUGCUGUCCUGUGUAAGACACUUUUAUUUUGUGUUUCUAUUGUAUGAGGUCAAACCUAAUAACAGAUAUAUUACACUCUAACAGAUACAUUACAUUGUAUAGUAGAAUUCUCAGACAGCAACCUUAUAAGGUGAUAGAUGCAGAAACAGGCCCAAAGAGUAAAAAUAAUUUGUUCAGAGUUUUCCAGCCAAGUGGCGAAGGUGAGAUUCUUACCUGGGUUUGUCUGAAACCAAUUUUCACUAUCUUUUUCAGUUAUGAUACACUGCCUAUUACGAAUGAAUGAAUCCUUUUUUUUUUUUCCAUUUACUUCCAUUUGAUUCAUUUAUUCCAGGGAGUGACACUUUUUCUGUAAAGGACCGAUAGUAAAUAUUUUAGACUUUGUGAGCAAUACAGUCUCUGUUGCAACUACUCAACUUUGUAAUGUAAAAGCAGCCAUAGACAAUAGUAAAUGAGUAGGUAUGACUAUGUUUCAAUAAAACUUUACUUACACAAGCAGGCAAUGGACAAUGUGGCCCAUGAGCCUUAGUUUGCCAACCCCUAAUGAAAUGGGAAAAGUUCCCUUGUCCCCUUCACAGGGCGUGCGAUGUGGGUGUGACUCACUUCUUCAGUCCCCACUGCACAAACCUCUAGGGAAGCAUACAGACAGGUAGGCUGUGGAGAUCUGACCCCACGGCAGUGUCUAGGGGUGACUGUUUACAGCCAAAGCCCCAGUGGGCACAUGUAGCAGGGUGCUCUUUUAGUUUAGCCGUCCGUGGGUGGCUUGUGUUAGCCAGCUCAAUUAAACCCCUGCCUUAUUGCAAGGACAGAGGGCUUUCUGUAUCUCGGGGUUCUUGCCUUGGUGUAGCAGAAGAAUUGGAUCACACGUGGGCUUGGAGAAUGAUUGCAAGGUUUUAUGGAGUGAAAGUAGCUCUCAGCAGGUGGAGGAGCCAAAAGGGAGAUGGUUUUCCCCUGGUGUCGGGCCGCUUGGCGGCCCAGGCUCUCCUCCCACUGCCCCAGCCAAACUCCAUGUCAUUCUGCCAGUUGGUGGCCUGCUGGCGUAAGUGUGUUCUCUCAACGUCCAGCUGCCCGCGUGUUCCUCCGCUGAUGUGCUCCUCUCGACGUCCAGCCGCCUGUUUGUCUACCUGCUAGGGUCUCAUGGUUUUUAUAGCACAGGAUGGGGGUGUGGCAGGCCAGGGUUGUCUUGGGAAAUGCAAUAUUUGGGCAGGAAAACAAAAUUAUGCCUGUCCUCACCUAGGUCCUUGGGCACACAUACGCAUGUCCCUGCCCCCUUCCCUAUCAUUUAAAGGGACACACCCUUCACUUCCCAGCACUUCUGUAUCACUAAUUUAUUGUAUUCUGAUGUUCCAUCACAAAAGUGCAUAGAGGACAUAUUAUAGAAGGUCCCCCACCUUCUGUGACAUUGUGAAAUUGCAAGCAUGCUCAUACUGCUGUCCAACAUAAGGGCUAAUGACAGUGUGGUUCAGAAGAUCCCUAAACUGACGGCCAUGAGUUCAUAUCUGCCAUUGCUACGAUUUGAAUGUGUCCCCAAGAAAGCAUGUAUUGGAAACUUAAUCCCCAAUGCAACAGUGUUGGGAGGUGAGGCCUAAUGAGAGGUGGUUAGGCCAUGCAGGCUUCACCCUCAUGAAUGGAUUAAUACCAUUGUCACAGGAAUUAGUUCAUUAUAAAAGGGCAAGUUUGAUUUCCCAACCCCUCUUUCUCACCCUCUCACCUUCUGCCAUGGGAUGACACAGGAAGAAGACACUCCCCAGAUGCCAGCAACUUGAUAUUGGACUUCCUGCCUUUAGAAACGUGAGAAAUAAAUUUUUUUUCUUUAUAAGUUA
This 3142-nucleotide long non-coding RNA is filed under the name Homo sapiens (human). RNAcentral describes it as "HSALNT0292599". Lineage: Eukaryota; Metazoa; Chordata; Mammalia; Primates; Hominidae. The record is from RNAcentral.